GACGAACGCUGGCGGCGUGCUUAAUACAUGCAAGUCGAACGGAAAGGCCCUGCUCUUGUGGGGUGCUCGAUUGGCGAACGGGUGAGUAACACGCGAGUAACCUGCCCUUGACUUUGGGAUAACUUCAGGAAACUGGGGCUAAUACCGGAUAGGAGCUCCUGCUGCAUGGUGGGGGUUGGAAAGUUUCGGCGGUUGGGGAUGGACUCGCGGCUUACCAGCUUGUUGGUGGGGUAGUGGCUUACCAAGGCUUUGACGGGUAGCCGGCCUGAGAGGGUGACCGGCCACAUUGGGACUGAGGUACGGCCCAGACUCCUACGGGAGGCAGCAGUGGGGAAUAUUGCACAAUGGGCGGAAGCCUGAUGCAGCAGCGCCGCGUGCGGGAUGACGGCCUUCGGGUUGUGAACCGCUUUCGCCUGUGACGAAGCGUGAGUGACGGUAAUGAGUAAGAAAGCACCGGCUAACUACGUG
Molecule: ribosomal RNA, 468 nt
Filed under: uncultured bacterium
Lineage: Bacteria
Description: partial 16S ribosomal RNA
Rfam family: Bacterial small subunit ribosomal RNA
Source: RNAcentral